RNAcentral lists this ribosomal RNA (1480 nucleotides) under Candidatus Vidania fulgoroideorum. RNAcentral's name for it is "bacterial SSU rRNA". It matches the Rfam family "Bacterial small subunit ribosomal RNA". Lineage: Bacteria; Pseudomonadati; Pseudomonadota; Betaproteobacteria. The record is from RNAcentral.
UGUGAGUUUGAUCCUGGCUCAGAUUUAACGCUAGCGGUUUGCCUAACACAUGCAAGUUAAACUGUUGUUUUAACAGUAGCGAACGGGUGAGUAAUAUAUUACAUAUAGCCAUAUAUUUUGCAUAAAGUGAUGAAAAUUACUGUAAAACAUAAUAAAGUUAUUAAAUAUAAAAUAACAAAAAGUAAAAAAAUAUUUUUUUAUUGUAUAUGAAUUAUGUAAUACCAGAUUAGCUAGUUGGUGACAUAAUAGGUUACCAAGGCAAUUAUCUGUAGCUGUUCUGAGAGGAAGCACAGCCACAUUGGGACUGAGACAAGGCCCAAACUCUUAAGGGAGGCAGCAGUGAGGAAUAUUGGACAAUGAGCGGAAGCUUGAUCCAGCAAAAUCGCGUGUGCGAAGAAGGUUUACUGUAAAGCACUUUUUUUUAAGAAUAAGUUUUUUUAAAAAAAAAAUUGAAUGUAUUAAAAGAAUAAGCACCGGCUAACUAUGUGCCAGCAGCCGCGGUAAUACAUAGGGUGCGAGCGUUAAUCGGAAUUAUUGGGCGUAAAGCGUACGUAGACCGUUUAUUAAGAAAAAUAAUAAAUAAUGUAACUUAAUUACAUAAAUUAUUUUUUACUGGUAAACUAGGAUUUAAAAGGGGAGAGUAGAAUUUUAUGUGUAGCGGUGAAAUGCGUAGAUAUAUAAAAGAAUACCAAAGGCGAAGGCAACUCUCUGGUUUAAUAUCGACGUUGAUGUACUAAAGCGUGGGGAGCAAACAGGAUUAGAUACCCUGGUAGUCCACGCCCUAAACGAUGUCAACUAAUUAUCAGAAUAAAUUUGGUAGUAAAGCUAACGCGUUAAGUUGACCGCCUGGGGAGUACGAUCGCAAGAUUAAAACUCAAAGGAAUUGACGGGGACCCGCACAAGCGGUGGAUGAUGUGGAUUAAUUCGAUGCAACACGAAGAACCUUACCUACUUUUGACAUGUAUAGAAUUCUUUCGAGAGAAAGAAGUGCCUAAGGGAACUAUAACACAGGUGCUGCAUGGCUGUCGUCAGCUCGUGUCGUGAGAUGUUGGGUUAAGUCCUAUAACGAGCGUAACCCUUUUUCUUUGUUGCUACUUUUAUGGGCACUCGAAGAAUACUGCUAAUGAUAAAUUAGAGGAAGGAAAGGAUGACGUCAAGUCCUCAUGGCCUUUAUAAGUAGGGCUUCACACGUCAUACAAUGGUUAAUACAAUUAGAAGCGAAUUUGUAAAAAAGAGCAAAUCUAUAAAAUUAAUCUAAGUUCGGAUUGUACUAUGAAACUCUAGUACAUGAAGUUGGAAUCGCUAGUAAUCGUAAAUCAGAAUGUUACGGUGAAUACGUUCUCGGGUCUUGUACACACCGCCCGUCACACCAUGGAAGUAAUUUUUAUUGGAAACUUUUCUUUAUUGAAUUGUCAAUAUAAAAAUUAUAACUGGGGUGAAGUCGUAACAAGGUAGCCGUAUCGGAAGGUGCGGCUGGAUU